RNAcentral lists this ribosomal RNA (259 nucleotides) under uncultured bacterium. RNAcentral's name for it is "partial 16S ribosomal RNA". It matches the Rfam family "Bacterial small subunit ribosomal RNA", at positions 95 to 354 of the family's 1533-position model. The record is from RNAcentral.
UUGGCGGACGGGUGAGUAACGCGUGGGGAACCUGCCCUGUACAGGGGGAUAACACUUAGAAAUAGGUGCUAAUACCGCAUAAGCGCACAGUAUCGCAUGAUACAGUGNGAAAAACUCCGGUGGUACAGGAUGGACCCGCGUCUGAUUAGCUGGUUGGCGGGGUAACGGCCCACCAAGGCGACGAUCAGUAGCCGGCCUGAGAGGGUGAACGGCCACAUUGGGACUGAGACACGGCCCAAACUCCUACGGAAGGCAGCAG